GAUGAACGCUGGCGGCGUGCCUAAUACAUGCAAGUCGAACGAAACUUCUUUAUCACCGAGUGCUUGCACUUACCGAUAAAGAGUUGAGUGGCGAACGGGUGAGUAACACGUGGGCAACCUGCCCAAAAGAGGGGGAAAACACUCGGAAACAGGUGCUAACAUCGCAUAACAAUAGUUACCGCAUGGUAACUAUGUAAAAGGAGUCUAUACUACCCCGUUUGAUUGGUCCGCGGCGUAUUAGCUAGUUGGGGGGGUAAAGGCUUACCAAGGCGAUGAUGCGUAGCUGGACUGAGAGGAUGAUCGGCCACAUUGGAACUGAGACACGGCCCAAACUCCUACGGGAGGCAGCAGUAGGGAAUAUUCGACAAUGGGCGAAAGCCUGAUGGAGCAACGCCGCGUGGGUGAAGAAGGCCUUCGGAUCGUAAAGCCCUGUUGUUAGGGAAGAAAGUGAGUAGGAGUAACUGUUCACGUUUCGACGGUAUCUAAACAGAAAGCCACUGCUAACUACGUG
Molecule: ribosomal RNA, 511 nt
Filed under: uncultured bacterium
Lineage: Bacteria
Description: partial 16S ribosomal RNA
Rfam family: Bacterial small subunit ribosomal RNA
Source: RNAcentral